This 240-nucleotide unclassified non-coding RNA is filed under the name soil metagenome. RNAcentral describes it as "partial contains 5.8S ribosomal RNA, internal transcribed spacer 2, and large subunit ribosomal RNA". The record is from RNAcentral.
AACGGUCUAUACCUGCGGUACCUGCGGAAGGAUCAUUACCGAGUUUACAACUCCCAAACCCAAUGUGAACGUUACCAAACUGUUGCCUCGGCGGGAUCUCUGCCCCGGGUGCGUCGCAGCCCCGGACCAAGGCGCCCGCCGGAGGACCAACCAAAAACUCUUUUUGUAUACCCCCUCGCGGGUUUUUUAUAUCUGAGCCUUUCUCGGCGCCCCUUCGUGGGCGUUUCGAAAAUGAAUCAA